Molecule: non-coding RNA, 1477 nt
Filed under: Salmo salar (Atlantic salmon)
Lineage: Eukaryota; Metazoa; Chordata; Actinopteri; Salmoniformes; Salmonidae
Description: Eukaryotic small subunit ribosomal RNA
Rfam family: Eukaryotic small subunit ribosomal RNA
Source: Rfam by way of RNAcentral
UUGAGUGAUCCUGUCAGCAACAUAUUCUUGUCUCGAAGAUGAAAACAUGAAAGUCUUAGUACACACGGCCGUUCCAGUGAAACUGUUAAUGGCUCAUUAAAUCAGUUAUGGUUCCUUUGAUCGCAACAACGUUACUUGGAUAACUGUUGAAAUUCUAGAGCUAAUACAUGCCAAUGAGCGCUGACCUUCGGGGAUGCGUGCAUUUAUCAGAUCCAAGACUAGGGCUGUGGCGGUCACAACAUUUCAUCAGCCGGUGACUGUCAAGCAAAUAACUGCCGGUCUCACGGUAAUUUACCGUUAAUUAACAUAAACACAUUUAGCAUCUCCUGGCUUCCACACAAGCCACUGAUGCAGACCUUUGGGACAUCUACAUUUUAAAAAGUAAAAUAAAUCCAUGUAAUAUAGCCUACACCAUCACAAUAAAUCCAUUCUUUAUUUUAGACAGGUCUAAAGAAACAUGAUAUAAAGAAAAUGCAGUCUAUUUCAGAAGAACAGAAUAGCAUACUCUGAGUUGUCCUUAUGUUAGGUCCUGAUCCGGCUAUGCCAUAUGGCUGUGGGCUACACUAGUUCAUUUAGCAGACAUGAUUUGCUUAGAAUUCCAUGGCAUUAUUUUAUAUUAUUUUAUAUUAUAUUAUAUUAUAAUAUGAAGAAUACAAUUGAACAAAGCUGAAUAAAAUAGAAAGGAUAUUUUCUCCAAACGAUUUGAGGGAGUGCGCACAUGCGGCUAUUCUAUGUUGAACUGUUAACAAAUAAAUAUGUACUCCAAUAUGCUUAAUUUAGCGUUAUUAAUGUAACUUUAGUUGUUCUACAAAAAAAAGCUGAUAGAGGCCAUCACUCUGUUUUCUCGUGUAAUUUCAUAGCCUAUAGAAAUGUUGCACAACAGGAGCUCAUGGGCUCUCAUGAAGAGUUUGAUUUGAUUUUAGAACUAUUUGCAUUGAUGUCAGAGUGAUUAGAGGGACAAUAGAGUGCUGAGUACCAGGCAGUUAGCAAGUUUGGUAGGAUACUAAUGUCCAUCAGCAGCAUCAGAGCUUGGAGAAGCCUAGUUACCGUGACUAAACAGUCACGUGGAAUUUGGCUGCCUUCGUGCCACGUGACCUCCAGUGUGGCGGUAAUAUGGUCACCACAACAAAACCUACCCAAAACCCAUGCGGGGUAGUCCCUGGCAUCAAUGGUUUUGUUGACCCCAUUAGUGCCGCUGAAGUCUCAUUCGAAUGUGUGCCCUAUCAACUUUCAAUGGUACUUUCUGUGCAUACCAUGUUGACUACGGGUAACAGGGAAUCGAGGUUCGAUUCCAGGGAGGAAGCCUAAGAAACGGCUACCACAUCCAAGGAAGGCACCAGGCACGUAAAUUACCCACUCCGACUCGGGGAGGUAGUGACAAAAAAGAACAAUACAGGACUCUUUCGAGGCCCUGUAAUUGGAAUGAAUACACUUAAAUAAUUGAAUGAGGAUCCAUAAUUGAUGUUUAGAAAAUGCA